This 204-nucleotide ribosomal RNA is filed under the name uncultured bacterium. Its description in RNAcentral is "partial 16S ribosomal RNA". It matches the Rfam family "Bacterial small subunit ribosomal RNA", at positions 1297 to 1500 of the family's 1533-position model. The record is from RNAcentral.
AUUGCAGGCUGCAACUCGCCUGCAUGAAGCUGGAAUUGCUAGUAAUCGCGGAUCAGCAUGCCGCGGUGAAUACGUUCCCGGGCCUUGUACACACCGCCCGUCACACCAUGAGAGUCGGGAACACCCGAAGUCCGUAGUCUAACCGCAAGGAGGGCGCGGCCGAAGGUGGGUCCGGUAAUUGGGGUGAAGUCGUAACAAGGUACC